This 1645-nucleotide long non-coding RNA is filed under the name Volvox carteri. RNAcentral describes it as "long non-coding RNA (VCAR_LNC001038)". Lineage: Eukaryota; Viridiplantae; Chlorophyta; Chlorophyceae; Chlamydomonadales; Volvocaceae. The record is from RNAcentral.
UUGAGAGAAAUGGUGGGGUGCCGUACGGCGCUGGCUGGCGUCCUAUCGUACAUCAUUCUGUUAAAAGCUGGGCUUGAAAACCGCGUUACGUGGUAGCGGGUGAGUUCCUGAAAUUGGGGAUAGAGGGAGCGAUUGAGGGCGAGAGCGCGUCAGAAACUUGUAUAAUCCGUACGGCAAUGUCGUUGUCAAAGCGUGCUCGUUGUCGAUGUGCUGCGUACGGCACCUGUUGAGCUGCUUUUUGUCUUUCUUUCUGCGGGGCCGUUCCGUCUUUAAGUAGUGUUGCUUCCUGAGGUCGUUGAGCCCUAAUGUGGUUGUUAAUUCAGUUAAGUGGGUAGAUGGAUGCCUUAAAGGGAAGGAGGGGCCUUGCGGAAGGCUUGCGGGAUGGCGCGAAGAUUCCGGUCCGUCGCCAUCGUUUUCCACGUCUCAGUUCGGCAGUUUCGGUAGUGAGCUGAAACGGUGCGAUGAAGAGGGAACAUUGUUGUACGACAAACGGAAUUUUUCCAGAAUGGAAUGAAAUAGAGCUCGCGCUCGCUCGUGUAAUGAUUGAGAUCGCGGGAAGGUGGGAAAGACGAAUCACGAACGAGUGAAGCUGCUGCCGGGGGGAAGGGGGGGAAGGUGUUGUGUGUUUACGUGUGUGUGUGAGUGUGUGUGUGGGUUGAGUGUGUGGGUUGAGUGUGUGGGUUGUGGUGAGAAUGGACGAGCGGCAGGGGGAUUGGGGGUCUGUUGAAGAUUUUGAUUGCCAGUUCGCCGCAUUGCCGCCGCGCACUGCACGCGCCGGAAAUCGAACUAUCUCGGUUGUUGAACUGUCGGUUGUGGUAGUUUGACCGGUUAAGUCCUGAAAAUCGUUGAAAGGGGGUCGGGCGCUGCCCUUAUCUCAUCACGGAGUCCUUCGCGGCCCAUGAACAACCCCAACAUGUACUUUCUCUCCACAUACAUGUAUACAUCUAUAUCUCGGGAUGUACUUACCCUUAAUUUACACUUUAUUUUGUCGACGGAUGUUAUCAAGAAGCAAAGUCCUCCCACCAAUACAUCCUGAACCUGCCGCCGAGCAUCACGUAGCGCCAUGUACGGGAAAAAAACGUUAGACCAAUAGUUUGCUUUGGUUUCUGUAGCCCGCGUUUCCGCAUGAGUCGUAUGAAGGUUGGCAAGAGGCAACGUUGUUAUCGCCCGGGAAAGCUAUUUUUGAUCUUUUCUGGGGCUACUGACUGACUCUUGUAUCGCCAUCGCCAUUUCUCUACCUGGGAGGCUUCCGUCAUGAAGUCGCUGUACGGAUGUACGGAAGGGCAGCAUGUGCCCCAACUGUUCCCCAACGGCAUGAGCUGACGGAUCUGAGCGGAUUUUUAUUUUGCGCUGCUGCUAUAGCAGUUGGGGGGAUAUGGCGCCGAGAACUUUCUUCUGUACUACAACUGAUGUACUGCUGUACAGUAGUGGCUUGUACGAUAAGCGUAAGGGAUUCGUUUUUUCUUUCUCUGCAAAGUUUUCUUCAUUCUUCGUUUGUAUAAUAAAUAGAUAUAGGGUUUGGGCAAGAGAGCUAAUCGGCGCGUACUGGUUUACGACGCUCGUACAUGUAUGGCGGUCGUACUCUUGAUAGAGUGUACACAGUAUACCGCAUACAAAAGACGGUGGAGCGGGAAGAAACAAGCAG